CUAUGACGCUGCGGCCAUCUUUUACCCCAUGCAAAGUCGAACGGCAGCCGCGGGGCAACCUGGCCGGCCGAGUGGCGAACGGGGUGAGUUAAUACAUCGGGAACCGUUCCCCAGAAAAGUGGGGGAUAACGUAGCGAAAAGUUACGCUUAAUACCCGCAUUCGGAUCUACGGAAUGAAAGUGGGGGACCUUCGGGCCCCUCAUGUUUUUGGAGCGGCCCGAUGUCUGAUUAGCUAGUUGGUAGGGUAAAGGCCUACCAAGGGCGACGAUCAGUAGCUGGUCUGAGAGGACGACCAGCCCACACUGGAACUGAGACACGGUCCAGACUCCUACGGGAGGCAGCAGUGGGGAAUUUUGGACAAUGGGCGCAAGCCUGAUCCAGCAAUGCCGCGUGAGUGAAGAAGGCCUUCGGGUUGUAAAGCUCUUUUGUCAGGGAAGAAACGGCUGCGGCUAAUAUCUGCGGCUAAUGACGGUACCUGAAGAAUAAGCACCGGCUAACUACGUGCCAGCAGCCGCGGUAAUACGUAGGGUGCAAGCGUUAAUCGGAAUUACUGGGCGUAAAGCGUGCGCAGGCGGUUUUGUAAGUCUGAUGUGAAAUCCCCGGGCUCAACCUGGGAAUUGCAUUGGAGACUGCAAGGCUAGAAUCUGGCAGAGGGGGGUAGAAUUCCACGUGUAGCAGUGAAAUGCGUAGAGAUGUGGAGGAACACCGAUGGCGAAGGCAGCCCCCUGGGUCAAGAUUGACGCUCAUGCACGAAAGCGUGGGGAGCAAACAGGAUUAGAUACCCUGGUAGUCCACGCCCUAAACGAUGUCUACUAGUUGUCGGGUUUUAAUUAACUUGGUAACGCAGCUAACGCGUGAAGUAGACCGCCUGGGGAGUACGGUCGCAAGAUUAAAACUCAAAGGAAUUGACGGGGACCCGCACAAGCGGUGGAUGAUGUGGAUUAAUUCGAUGCAACGCGAAAAACCUUACCUACCCUUGACAUGGAAGGAAUCCUGAAGAGAUUUGGGAGUGCCCGAAAGGGAACCUUCACACAGGUGCUGCAUGGCUGUCGUCAGCUCGUGUCGUGAGAUGUUGGGUUAAGUCCCGCAACGAGCGCAACCCUUGUCAUUAGUUGCUACGCAAGAGCACUCUAAUGAGACUGCCGGUGACAAACCGGAGGAAGGUGGGGAUGACGUCAAGUCCUCAUGGCCCUUAUGGGUAGGGCUUCACACGUCAUACAAUGGUACAUACAGAGGGCCGCCAACCCGCGAGGGGGAGCUAAUCCCAGAAAGUGUAUCGUAGUCCGGAUUGUAGUCUGCAACUCGACUACAUGAAGUUGGAAUCGCUAGUAAUCGCGGAUCAGCAUGUCGCGGUGAAUACGUUCCCGGGUCUUGUACACACCGCCCGUCACACCAUGGGAGCGGGUUUUACCAGAAGUAGGUAGCUUAACCGCAAGGAGGGCGCUUACCACGGUAGGAUUCGUGACUGGGGUGAAGUCGAAAG
RNAcentral lists this ribosomal RNA (1483 nucleotides) under Massilia sp. RNAcentral describes it as "bacterial SSU rRNA". It matches the Rfam family "Bacterial small subunit ribosomal RNA". Lineage: Bacteria; Pseudomonadati; Pseudomonadota; Betaproteobacteria; Burkholderiales; Oxalobacteraceae. The record is from RNAcentral.